Molecule: ribosomal RNA, 253 nt
Filed under: uncultured bacterium
Lineage: Bacteria
Description: partial 16S ribosomal RNA
Rfam family: Bacterial small subunit ribosomal RNA
Source: RNAcentral
UACGAAGGGGGCUAGCGUUGUUCGGAAUUACUGGGCGUAAAGCGCGCGCAGGCGGUCCUUCAAGUCAGAGGUGAAAGCCCAGAGCUCAACUCUGGAACGGCCUUUGAGACUAGAGGACUUGGGUACGGGAGAGGUGAGUGGAAUUCCGAGUGUAGAGGUGAAAUUCGUAGAUAUUCGGAAGAGCAUCAGUGGCGAAAGCGGCUUCCUGGACCAGUACCGACGUUCAGGCACGAAAGCGUGGGGAGCAAACAGG